GCCCACUGAAGGGCCGAACCUACGUCUGUUGAAAAAGACGAGGGAUGAGUUGUGGAUCGGAGUGAAAGGCUAAUCAAGCUCGGAGAUAGCUGGUUCUCCCCGAAAGCUAUUGAGGUAGCGCCUCGUGUCUCACUCCCGGGGGUAGAGCACUGUUUCGGCUAGGGGGCCAUCCCGGCUUACCAACCCGAGGCAAACUCCGAAUACCGGGAAGUGCAAUCACGGGAGACACACGGCGGGUGCGAACAUCCGUCGUGAAGAGGGAAACAACCCAGACCGCCAGCUAAGGUCCCCAAAUUGCGGCUUAGUGGGAAACGAUGUGGGAAGGCCCAGACAGCCAGGAGGUUGGCUUAGAAGCAGCCAUCCUUUAAAGAAAGCGUAAUAGCUCACUGGUCGAGUCGGCCCGCGCGGAAGAUUCACCG
This 419-nucleotide ribosomal RNA is filed under the name uncultured bacterium. RNAcentral's name for it is "bacterial LSU rRNA". It matches the Rfam family "Bacterial large subunit ribosomal RNA", at positions 761 to 1177 of the family's 2925-position model. The record is from RNAcentral.